AUCUGGUCGUUGUUGAGCUAAUGUUUCACCACCCCUUUUACCGCUCCGUGCCGUGAGAGCGGGAGCCUGUAGAUGGGCAGUGAGACAAGGGCCCAGGCCCUACGGGGCGCAGCAGUCGCGAAAACUUUGCAAUACACGAAAGUGUGACAGGGCUAUCCCGAGUGCCAUCCGCUGAGGAAGGCUUUUACCCAGUCUAGAACGCUGGGGGAAUAAGGAGAGGGCAAGUCUGGUGUCAGCCGCCGCGGUAAUACCAGCUCUCCGAGUGGUGUGGAUGUUUAUUGGGCCUAAAGCAUCCGUAGCUGGCUAAGUUAGUCCCUUGUUAAAUCCACCGAAUUAAUCGUUGGAUUGCGGGGGAUACUGCUUGGCUAGGGGACGAGAGAGGCAGACGGUAUUCCCGGGGUAGGGGUGAAAUCCUAUAAUCCCGAGAAGACCACCAGUGGCGAAGGCUGUCUGCUAGAACGCGCCCGACGGUGAGGGAUGAAAGCUGGGGGAGCGAACCGGAUUAGAUACCCGGGUAGUCCCAGCUGUAAACGAUGCAGGCUAGGUGUUUGGACGGCCACGUGCCGUUCUAGUGCCGCAGGGAAGCUGUUAAGCCUGCCGCCUGGGGAGUACGAUCGCAAGAUUGAAACUUAAAGGAAUUGGCGGGGGAGCACCACAAGGGGUGAAGCUUGCGGUUUAAUUGGAUUCAACGCCGG
RNAcentral lists this ribosomal RNA (695 nucleotides) under uncultured archaeon. RNAcentral's name for it is "bacterial SSU rRNA". It matches the Rfam family "Archaeal small subunit ribosomal RNA", at positions 224 to 921 of the family's 1478-position model. The record is from RNAcentral.